RNAcentral lists this long non-coding RNA (2517 nucleotides) under Columba livia (rock pigeon). Its description in RNAcentral is "partial uncharacterized LOC102092662, transcript variant X3". Lineage: Eukaryota; Metazoa; Chordata; Aves; Columbiformes; Columbidae. The record is from RNAcentral.
GGCCAGCCCGGGGAGGAAGAUGGAGGAGCCGCGGCCGGGCGGGCACCGCGGCCGUGCCAGGAGCGCGGCGGAGGGGCUGCUCUUGAUGGGUGGAAAACACCGCUUCUCGCUCUCCUCACGGCAUGGAAAAUACCGAAACACGCUUUAGGAGAAAAAAAUAACACAGCAACAACCCCCAAACAGCUGAGGAUUGAUGUAUCUUCAGGGAAGAAGCCGUCGCCGCUCGCCUGGCUCCUCACGACAACCUGCCCGCCAUUUGCUUAAUUAAAAGCAUAUACUUGAUGUGAUCAGAUGUGGUAAUACCGUAAAAAAAAAAACCCAAACCAAACCAAAAUACCCCGUAACAUCCAAACGCUCGUUGUUGGAGGCUGCAGCCAAGCUCGGCUGCUUAUUCCAGAAGUUUCUACAGGGGAGGGAGCACCCACUGCGGAGCCUUUGCCGCAGCGCCGGGAGGAGAUGCCGAGGAUGCGCCACCUCUCCCCUUCCCAAGCCUCCCCCCUUCGCUCGAUUUUCCCCAUCCUUGGGAAAAAAACGCUGCUGGGAGGUGUGUUAAGGGUGUUUUUUAUUAAAAAAUCUUCCUCCUUCCCCCUCCCCGCUUUGCUAAAUGAAUUAAAAGCAGCGCUGUCUCCCGAUGGAGAUGGAUGAGGCUGCUCGCUCGCACGCUCCCCUGCAGCCUCCGGCUGCCCCAGCGAGGGGACCGCGGCCACAAGUGACCUUCCCCAGGUGCCCCGACACGCUGCUGCUUCUUGGGAUUCAUUUUAAAUAGGCUUAUUAUUUUUUAUCUCCCCCCUCCCCUUAAAGAACAGUUCGCUCUUUCAGUGAUUCUUUUUUCUUGACGCUUCUUCAUGAUCCUUUUUUUUUGUGUGUGUGUUUUGAAUUGCAUCUUAAAACUGCCCAGCUGGAGACAGGUCUCGAUUAGAGCUGGAACAAUAGUUCCAUUUUAUUAAUAACGGGAAGGAUUUACAAUCCUCCAGCACCUUCCUUGGAAGGCUUUCAGGAAUCAUUUGCAAACACGCACACAUUUAAGAUCCCGCAGCCAAGGGCUGGGAGGUGGGUAAGUAUGUGAAUGGUGCCACCGCCAAAAAUCGCGUCGGUGGCCAAUCUGCCUUUCCGAGUGCUGAAAAAAAGACAGAUUGGGUGGGUUCUAGGGCUGUGACCUCAAUCUGUCCCGUGUUCUCUGUAGAUGCCGAUUGUUCUGCUGCAUCCUGAGAACUGGGCUGUACAGAGGACCGCGCCGCCUUGCCGGAGCGGAGCUGUGGACUCGCUUGCUGCUCAGGAUACACAGGAUUGUGUAACCCACGGCAGAUGUAACCAUCUCAGAGCUGUCUGGGCAGUCGGAUCUGGCCUUGCUGAGACACGGGUUGUGUAAGUGGCGUGUUGUACGCAGGCCACAAAACCCCACAACAUUUCAGUGGUUACGUCUGUCUGGGAGAGCGUGAGUAGGUCCCAGGGCUUCCCCUUCCCACCGCUUUGCCGGUUCACAAAACGAGAGGCUGAUGCUUCUGGAAAAAGCUCUGCCUUGUGGCCUUUAAAAAAAAAAAACCUGCUGUGGAUUAGUCAUCCUUGUUUUUAAAGGAAGCUGCGUUUGCCAGCCCUGGCCGUGUAACGCGUGUGUGUUAUCAGCCAUUGGGUUUAUUUGCUGGUAAGGUGCUGGGCUCUCUGGGGCGGCGCCACCGCGGCUCCUUCGAGCUGUUCCCGGCGGGUGGAAGAGCCACCACGGUCCAGCUUUUCAUGCCCUUCCCUCCGUUCUCUUGUUUUUCAGCGCUGGAAAUGUGGAGAACGCACCAAACGCACGUGGGGACAGACAAACGUAUUCUGGGGUCACUUCAACUCUGGAGGAGAAGCCCUGGGAUGUGUUGGUUUGGAGAUGCUCCUUGUGCUCACCGGAGGUACCAAGAAGCUGCUUGUUGGGGAUGUUUCCACGUUUUUGAGGUUGGCAACACCCCGUGGGACUCGGAAUUAACUUUUCUUUGGUAGUCGAGGACAAACGAGUGAGAAUCACCUUGGGAGCGCUGAACUUUUACCCCCCUCUCCUUCGGACUGAAGAGCUUCUAGAACUACAUCGGUGAGGCUUCCAAGUUAAACAAAACCUGAAUUCCCGCUGCCAAAAAGCAAGCGAGCGAUAGAAACCUCCACAUCUCCUCCGUGAGGGGGGACACCGCGGUCUCCCGAGAUUAUUCUGGUAUCCCCAAGAGUUAAAAAUGCUGCAUCGUGAGACCUGCGGAGGUCAAACGAAAGCCAGAGCUCACCGAGAAACUCUUCUCCGUAUCGCUCAAGGGGUUUUUGAGCAUAGCAGGUCUCCACGCACCAUUAUUUUUGUGUCUUUGUCAGGACCAAAGGAGCGAUAAUAGUGUGUUCAGUCUGCUUUGUUUAAAACACCGUCGAGUUGCUUUGCUAUCAAAAUGGUGUCUGGUGAAAGAAAAGCUCUGGUGGUGGCUGGCUCGGUGGUUAUUUUGUGCCAACCGAUCCCUCGUGGCUUUGGGCUGUGGGUUCGUGUUAAACCCUUGUCCUCCAGCG